GAUGAACGCUGGCGGCGUGCCUAAUACAUGCAAGUCGUGCGAACGGACGAGAAGCUUGCUUUUCUGAUGUUAGCGGCGGACGGGUGAGUAACACGUGGAUAACCUACCUAUAAGACUGGGAUAACUUCGGGAAACCGGAGCUAAUACCGGAUAAUAUUUUGAACCGCAUGGUUCAAAAGUGAAAGACGGUCUUGCUGUCACUUAUAGAUGGAUCCGCGCUGCAUUAGCUAGUUGGUAAGGUAACGGCUUACCAAGGCAACGAUUCAUAGCCGACCUGAGAGGGUGAUCGGCCACACUGGAACUGAGACACGGUCCAGACUCCUACGGGAGGCAGCAGUAGGGAAUCUUCCGCAAUGGGCGAAAGCCUGACGGAGCAACGCCGCGUGAGUGAUGAAGGUCUUCGGAUCGUAAAACUCUGUUAUUAGGGAAGAACAUAUGUGUAAGUAACUGUGCACAUCUUGACGGUACCUAAUCAGAAAGCCACGGCUAACUACGUG
This 497-nucleotide ribosomal RNA is filed under the name uncultured bacterium. RNAcentral describes it as "partial 16S ribosomal RNA". It matches the Rfam family "Bacterial small subunit ribosomal RNA", at positions 28 to 507 of the family's 1533-position model. The record is from RNAcentral.